Molecule: ribosomal RNA, 434 nt
Filed under: uncultured bacterium
Lineage: Bacteria
Description: bacterial SSU rRNA
Rfam family: Bacterial small subunit ribosomal RNA
Source: RNAcentral
UGCUUUACACAUGCAAGUCGAACGGCAGCACGGGGGCAACCCUGGUGGCGAGUGGCGAACGGGUGAGUAAUACAUCGGAACGUGCCCGAUCGUGGGGGAUAACGCAGCGAAAGCUGUGCUAAUACCGCAUACGAUCUACGGAUGAAAGCGGGGGAUCUUCGGACCUCGCGCGGACGGAGCGGCCGAUGGCAGAUUAGGUAGUUGGUGGGAUAAAAGCUUACCAAGCCGACGAUCUGUAGCUGGUCUGAGAGGAUGAUCAGGCACACUGGAACUGAGACACGGUCCAGACUCCUACGGGAGGCAGCAGUGGGGAAUAUUGCACAAUGGAGGAAACUCUGAUGCAGCAACGCCGCGUGGAGGAUGACGCAUUUCGGUGUGUAAACUCCUUUUAUAAGGGAAGAUAAUGACGGUACCUUAUGAAUAAGCACCGGCUA